Molecule: ribosomal RNA, 383 nt
Filed under: uncultured Atopobium sp.
Lineage: Bacteria; Bacillati; Actinomycetota; Coriobacteriia; Coriobacteriales; Atopobiaceae
Description: bacterial SSU rRNA
Rfam family: Bacterial small subunit ribosomal RNA
Source: RNAcentral
GGAUGUGUAUAAAGUGGCGAACGGCUGAGUAACACGUGGGCAACCUGCCCUUUGCACUGGGAUAGCCUCGGGAAACCGAGGUUAAUACCGGAUACUCCAUAUUUGUCGCAUGGCGAAUAUGGGAAAGCUCCGGCGGCAAAGGAUGGGCCCGCGGCCUGUUAGCUAGUUGGUGGGGUAGUGGCCUACCAAGGCAAUGAUGGGUAGCCGGGUUGAGAGACCGACCGGCCAGAUUGGGACUGAGACACGGCCCAGACUCCUACGGGAGGCAGCAGUGGGGAAUCUUGCACAAUGGGCGAAAGCCUGAUGCAGCGACGCCGCGUGCGGGAUGAAGGCCUUCGGGUUGUAAACCGCUUUCAGCAGGGACGAGGCCGCAAGGUGACGGU